RNAcentral lists this ribosomal RNA (305 nucleotides) under uncultured bacterium. Its description in RNAcentral is "partial 16S ribosomal RNA". It matches the Rfam family "Bacterial small subunit ribosomal RNA", at positions 508 to 807 of the family's 1533-position model. The record is from RNAcentral.
ACAGCAGUCGCCGCGGUAAUACGGAGGGUGCAAGCGUUAAUCGGAAUUACUGGGCGUAAAGCGUGCGUAGGCGGCUUUUUAAGUCGGAUGUGAAAUCCCUGAGCUUAACUUAGGAAUUGCAUUCGAUACUGGGAAGCUAGAGUAUGGGAGAGGAUGGUAGAAUUCCAGGUGUAGCGGUGAAAUGCGUAGAGAUCUGGAGGAAUACCGAUGGCGAAGGCAGCCAUCUGGCCUAAUACUGACGCUGAGGUACGAAAGCAUGGGGAGCAAACAGGAUUAGAUACCCCGGUAGUCCCUGUCUCUUAUAC